RNAcentral lists this transfer RNA (72 nucleotides) under Camelus bactrianus (Bactrian camel). It matches the Rfam family "tRNA". Rfam says of the family: Transfer RNA (tRNA) molecules are approximately 80 nucleotides in length. Their secondary structure includes four short double-helical elements and three loops (D, anti-codon, and T loops). The record is from Rfam by way of RNAcentral. RNAcentral also lists the same sequence under 2 other names. Lineage: Eukaryota; Metazoa; Chordata; Mammalia; Artiodactyla; Camelidae.
GAGGGUGUAGCUCAGUGGUACAGCACAUGCUUAGCAUGCAUGAGGUCCUGGGUUCAAUCCCCAGUAUCUCCA